This 497-nucleotide ribosomal RNA is filed under the name uncultured bacterium. RNAcentral's name for it is "partial 16S ribosomal RNA". It matches the Rfam family "Bacterial small subunit ribosomal RNA", at positions 28 to 507 of the family's 1533-position model. The record is from RNAcentral.
GACGAACGCUGGCGGCGUGCUUAACACAUGCAAGUAGAACGGUGAAGAGCGGCGUUUGUGCUGUGCUCGAGUGGCGCGCACGGGAGUGUCACGUGAGUGUCCCGUCCUUGGCAGUGGGGGAAAAUCAUGGGAAAGGAGCUAAUAUACCGCAUAAGAUCCGGCUACAUGGGGGGGGUAGGUAAAUGUCGGCAGUUGUGGACUGACAGGCGGACUAGCAGUGUGUUAGCUAGGAAGUGGGUUAACGGGGCUCCUAGGCGGGGAUACAUAGCCGACCUGAGAGGGUGAGCGGCCACACGGGGACUGAGACACGGCCCAGACUCCUACGGGAGGCAGCAGUAGGGAAUCUUCGGCAAUGGGGGCAACCCUGACCGAGCAACGCCGCGUGAGUGAAGAAGGUUUUCGGAUCGUAAAGCUCUGUUGUAAGUCAAGAACGGGUGUGAGAGUGGAAAGUUCACACUGUGACGGUAGCUUACCAGAAAGGGACGGCUAACUACGUG